CCAUUUCCGCAUUGCUGCUCCAGUCCCCACAAGAGAACGCUGAAUUGCUAAACUUGGAACAGAGAGUGCUUUUCCCAGAAAUCCUCUGACUCACCCUUAAAGUAGCAGUGCCACCCUAAAAGCAGGAGUUGGCUGCCAGUUUGCUAGAAUUUUUGGCUGGCCUUGAGCCUGGCUUAAUUGCUCCAGUCCUUCUCUCCCUUGACACAACAGAUCAUGCCUCCUGGCAUCUUACAGUUUUCAUGCCUACUGGAUUCAACAUCUGGGGUCAAAACUUGAUCAUCUGGGGAUUCCUGAUUGCUGGGAGUAUGGAAAAUUGAACAUAUACACCUUGGAUAAAUCCAAGGUUAAGGAUAAAAGGUAAGAAUGCAGCAGUCUCUCAUUUCACCUCCAUCUGAGCAACAAUGUGGAGAAUUGUUCCUCUCUAGCUUGGUAUUUGUAUGUUGGGGGUUGGGGGGAACCAAAAGGAAUGAAGAACAGAAUCAGAAACGAGGGUAAGAACGGGUCGCUCCAAACCCUGGGAGCAGUCACAUCAGGCUGCCAGCUGCAACAAGAAUCUCUCUAAUAAGGAAAUUAGAGCAUGAUCAUUUCUGGCUAUGUGACUCUGAUUCUAAAUAGGUUUUACAAAUAGAUUGUGAUUGAACUUGGAAACAUAAACAAAUUGGCUUUGUGGAAUAAAGGCUGAACUACAUUUUAUUUAGAGAAUUAAAAUGCUUUCAUGGGAGGCUCUCUGGGAGAACGGACAGCUAUUUUAACGAGAGCAUAUGCAUUUGUGAAACACACCGGCUUUGUUGGUUUCUCUUUGGAGAGUCAGGUCUGAUAAAGUCAAAAGAAAGUUUCCCAAUAGGGUCCCUAAGAGGACAACUGAUAAAGGCAGGGAAUGGGCAGUAUGUAUUUGAAAUUCCCCAUUCAGAUGCGGGGAGGAGAG
This is a long non-coding RNA of Camelus dromedarius (Arabian camel), 925 nucleotides long. RefSeq lists it as uncharacterized. The record is from RefSeq and is a predicted model, not a curated record. The transcript has 3 exons. Lineage: Eukaryota; Metazoa; Chordata; Mammalia; Artiodactyla; Camelidae.